This 256-nucleotide ribosomal RNA is filed under the name uncultured bacterium. RNAcentral describes it as "partial 16S ribosomal RNA". It matches the Rfam family "Bacterial small subunit ribosomal RNA", at positions 524 to 776 of the family's 1533-position model. The record is from RNAcentral.
UACGUAGGGUGCAAGCGUUUGUCCGGAAUUAUUGGGCGUAAAGAGCUCGUAGGCGGUCUGUCGCGUCGGCUGUGAAAACUCGGGGCUCAACCCCGAGCCUGCAGUCGAUACGGGCAGACUAGAGUGCUGUAGGGGAGACUGGAAUUCCUGGUGUAGCGGUGAAAUGCGCAGAUAUCAGGAGGAACACCGGUGGCGAAGGCGGUUCUCUGGGCAUGUCCUGACGCUGAGGAGCGAAAAGUGUGGGGGAGCAAACAGG